Molecule: ribosomal RNA, 380 nt
Filed under: uncultured Nitrososphaerota archaeon
Lineage: Archaea; Thermoproteati; Nitrososphaerota
Description: bacterial SSU rRNA
Rfam family: Archaeal small subunit ribosomal RNA
Source: RNAcentral
UAAAACCAGCACCUCAAGUGGUCAGGAGGAUUAUUGGGCCUAAAGCAUCCGUAGCCGGCUCUGUAGGUUUUCGGUUAAAUCCAUGUGCUCAACGCAUGGGCUGCCGAAAAUACUGCAUAGCUAGGGAGUGGGAGAGGUAGACGGUACUCAGUAGGAAGGGGUAAAAUCCUUUGAUCUAUUGAUGACCACCUGUGGCGAAGGCGGUCUACCAGAACACGUUCGACGGUGAGGGAUGAAAGCUGGGGGAGCAAACCGGAUUAGAUACCCGGGUAGUCCCAGCUGUAAACGAUGCAGACUCGAUGAUGCAUUGGCAUAUAGCCAGUGCAGUGUCGCAGGGAAGCCGUUAAGUCUGCCGCCUGGGAAGUACGUACGCAAGUAUG